AGCUGAAGAAGCGGUUUUGUGACGACGGUUCGUAAACUCUGUCUGGCGACGAUUUGGUUUGAUGCUAACGGACACCAUGUGUACGACAGUGACGUUGCCGGCAUGUUUGUUGCCUUUGUACGACUGGACGAGCAAACACAAUAUUGUUCCAUUAAGGUGGUGUAAUGCACAAUUAAUUUCAUUCCCCUUGCGCUUUUGCUCGUCGUCAGUUAUCCAUUGGCUGGGGCUAGUAAUUCAAUGGACUGUACGGCACAUGAACUGGAGGAUUACUAUGUAGUCAUUCCGUCCACGGUUUGCUACACGUCACAACCCUGUCCAGCGC
Molecule: long non-coding RNA, 322 nt
Filed under: Volvox carteri
Lineage: Eukaryota; Viridiplantae; Chlorophyta; Chlorophyceae; Chlamydomonadales; Volvocaceae
Description: long non-coding RNA (VCAR_LNC003327)
Source: RNAcentral